GAAUGCCAGGUCGUCUAACGGCAGGACAGCAGUUUUUGGAGCUGCGUAUGCUGGUUCGAGUCCAGCCUCGCCUUCG
RNAcentral lists this transfer RNA (76 nucleotides) under Flavobacteriales bacterium. RNAcentral describes it as "tRNA-Gln". It matches the Rfam family "tRNA". From Rfam's summary of the family: Transfer RNA (tRNA) molecules are approximately 80 nucleotides in length. Lineage: Bacteria; Pseudomonadati; Bacteroidota; Flavobacteriia; Flavobacteriales. The record is from RNAcentral.